AAUGAAUGAGCUCACAUGGUCAACUAUAAAUUCAAUUGCGUCUUUGCAAUUUCAUGGCGUUGGUAUUGCGUUCAUCCUAACUUGAGUCAUCGAUCGAUCACUUUAAGUUGAAAUGAGUUCUCAUCAACUCAGUGUUAGGAUAGUGAUAGUACCUAAGUUGAUUUAUGUGGAACUAGGGAUGAAUAGAUAAGCUCACAGGGUCAACUAGAAAUCUAAUUGAGUCUUUGCAAUUGGAUGACAUUGGUAUUGUAUUCAUCCCAAUCCGAGUCGUUGAUCGAUCACUCUGAGUUGAAAUGAGUUCUCAUCAACUUAAUGUUAGGAUAGUGAUAGUACCUAAGUUGAUUUAUGUGGAACUAGGGAUGAAUAGAUAAGCUCACAGGGUC
Molecule: long non-coding RNA, 383 nt
Filed under: Capsicum annuum
Lineage: Eukaryota; Viridiplantae; Streptophyta; Magnoliopsida; Solanales; Solanaceae
Description: long non-coding RNA (CANN_LNC014641)
Source: RNAcentral